UAUCUACUAUGACCCACAGAGAAUUUUAGAUUGGGAUUUAAUUAAUGAGAAAUUCCUUGUGUUGCUCAAAAUAGGUCACGAUGUGUUGUGGCUGUGGAGACUCAGAUAUGCGGUCCAUGUGAACACACACUUUAGAGACAAUGAAGGUGGAGACAAUUUCCCAGAAAAAAGCCCCAAAUCUGAAGACAGUAGCCGUCAGGUUUGCACAGUUCGGGUUCCCACGAUCCAAAGCAUUGUGCACAGAUGCUCAGCUGCUACUCUAGUCAAGACCAGUUAUUCCGAGGAGAAUAUUUGUGUAAAUAAAAGUUUUAUUAGAUAUCA
This is a long non-coding RNA of Homalodisca vitripennis (glassy-winged sharpshooter), 321 nucleotides long. RefSeq lists it as uncharacterized. NCBI's taxonomy places the organism in Eukaryota, Metazoa, Arthropoda, Insecta, Hemiptera, Cicadellidae. The transcript has 2 exons. The record is from RefSeq and is a predicted model, not a curated record.